AGUGGCGGACGGGUGAGUAACGCGUGAGAAUCUGCCUUGGGGUCGGGGACAACCACUGGAAACGGUGGCUAAUACCGGAUAAGCCGAUUGGUGAAAGAUUUAUUGCCCUAAGAGGAGCUCGCGUCUGAUUAGCUAGUUGGUGAGGUAAGAGCUCACCAAGGCAGCGAUCAGUAGCUGGUCUGAGAGGACGAUCAGCCACACUGGGACUGAGACACGGCCCAGACUCCUACGGGAGGCAGCAGUGGGGAAUUUUCCGCAAUGGGCGAAAGCCUGACGGAGCAAGACCGCGUGAGGGAGGAAGGCUCUUGGGUUGUAAACCUCUUUUCUCAGGGAAGAAGCUCUGACGGUACCUGAGGAAUCAGCCUCGGCUAACUCCGUGCCAGCAGCCGCGGUAAUACGGAGGAGGCAAGCGUUAUCCGGAAUUAUUGGGCGUAAAGCGUCCGCAGGUGGCGGUUCAAGUCUGCUGUCAAAGCACGGGGCUUAACUCCGUAAAGGCAGUGGAAACUGAAUAGCUAGAGUGCCGUAGGGGUAGAGGGAAUUCCCGGUGUAGCGGUGAAAUGCGUAGAGAUCGGGAAGAACAUCGGUGGCGAAAGCGCUCUACUGGACGGCAACUGACACUCAGGGACGAAAGCUAGGGGAGCGAAUGGGAUUAGAUACCCC
RNAcentral lists this ribosomal RNA (660 nucleotides) under uncultured bacterium. RNAcentral describes it as "bacterial SSU rRNA". It matches the Rfam family "Bacterial small subunit ribosomal RNA", at positions 94 to 788 of the family's 1533-position model. The record is from RNAcentral.